ACGAACGCUGGCGGCGUGCUUCACCCAUGCAAGUCGAACGGUGAAGCGCUUUCCUUUUUGGUUGGUGUGGAUGAGUGGCGAACGGGUGAGUAACACGUGAGUAACCUGCCCCCUUCUUCUGGAUAACCGCAUGAAAGUGUGGCUAAUACGGGAUAUUCUGCGCCUGCUGCAUGGUGGGUGUGGGAAAGAUUGUGCCUUUGGGUGUUUUCGGUGGGGGAUGGGCUCGCGGCCUAUCAGCUUGUUGGUGGGGUGAUGGCCUACCAAGGCGGUGACGGGUAGCCGGCCUGAGAGGGUGGACGGUCACACUGGGACUGAGACACGGCCCAGACUCCUACGGGAGGCAGCAGUGGGGAAUAUUGCACAAUGGGCGCAAGCCUGAUGCAGCGACGCCGCGUGAGGGAUGGAGGCCUUCGGGUUGUGAACCUCUUUCGCCAGUGAAGCAGGCCUGCUCCUUGUGGGUGGGUUGACGGUAGCUGGAGAAGAAGCGCCGGCUAACUACGUG
RNAcentral lists this ribosomal RNA (502 nucleotides) under uncultured bacterium. Its description in RNAcentral is "partial 16S ribosomal RNA". It matches the Rfam family "Bacterial small subunit ribosomal RNA", at positions 29 to 507 of the family's 1533-position model. The record is from RNAcentral.